UAGCGAUUGGUGUAAUGGUAGCACAGAGGCCUUUGGAGCCUUUAGUCUAGGUUCGAAUCCUAGAUCGCUAGCCA
RNAcentral lists this transfer RNA (74 nucleotides) under Herpetosiphon sp. RNAcentral describes it as "tRNA-Gln". It matches the Rfam family "tRNA". From Rfam's summary of the family: Transfer RNA (tRNA) molecules are approximately 80 nucleotides in length. Their secondary structure includes four short double-helical elements and three loops (D, anti-codon, and T loops). Lineage: Bacteria; Bacillati; Chloroflexota; Chloroflexia; Herpetosiphonales; Herpetosiphonaceae. RNAcentral also lists the same sequence under 1 other name. The record is from RNAcentral.